AUGUAGAGUUGGUUGUCGCUGGCCUCUUCACGGAGGCAUGUGCACGCCUUCUCUUUCAUCCACACACACCUGUGCACCUGUGAGACGGGGACCUCUAUUUUUUCUUUCGUUAGGAGGAGGGGAGGCUUCCGUCUGCCAAUACAUAAACUCAUAUAUUUUUAAUCUGAAUGUAAUUGAUGUAACGCAUCUAUAAACUAAGUUUCAACAACGGAUCUCUUGGCUCUCGCAUCGAUGAAGAACGCAGCGAAAUGCGAUAAGUAAUGUGAAUUGCAGAAUUCAGUGAAUCAUCGAAUCUUUGAACGCACCUUGCGCUCCUUGGUAUUCCUUGGAGCAUGCCUGUUUGAGUAUCAUGAAAUUAUCAAAGCAAGUCUUUUGUUCACUCAAUCGGCUCUGUUUUGGACUUGGAGGUCUGCAGAUUCACGUCUGCUCUUCCUAAAUGCAUUAGCUGGAUCUCAGUGAGCUCGGUUCCACUCGGCGUGAUAAGUAUCACUCGCUGAGGACACCCGUAAAAAAGGUGGCCGGGAUUGCAGAUGAACCGCUUCCAAUAGUCUAUUAAAUUAGACAAUAUACUUUAUGAUCUGAUCUCAAAUCAGGUAGGACUACCCGCUGAACUUAAGCAUAUCA
This 624-nucleotide ribosomal RNA is filed under the name Ceratobasidium sp. F10. Its description in RNAcentral is "eukaryotic LSU rRNA". The stretch from base 197 to 350 matches the Rfam family "5.8S ribosomal RNA". Lineage: Eukaryota; Fungi; Basidiomycota; Agaricomycetes; Cantharellales; Ceratobasidiaceae. The record is from RNAcentral.